ACCCUUGUGGAGGAGGACGCCGAAGGUGGGGCUAAUGACUGGGGUGAAGUCGUAACAAGGUAGCCGUACCGGAAGGUGCGGCUGGAUCACCUCCUAACAGGGAGACAACAAAAUGUUUAAUAUUAUUAUUUUGUCACCUUAGGUCGAUCGGUAUCUCACGUUCUUAAUUUGUUAAGAAUUUCAUUUCCUAAGUUUUUCUAGGUCACACCCAUUAUUUUUCCUGGGCCAUUAGCUCAGGUGGUUAGAGCGCACCCCUGAUAAGGGUGAGGUCCCUGGUUCAAGUCCAGGAUGGCCCAUAUCUCUAUGUUGGGGGUAUAGCUCAGUUGGUAGAGCGCCUGCUUUGCAAGCAGGAUGUCAGCGGUUCGAGUCCGCUUACCUCCACUGAUUACCACCUCUUACAUAACCGGUAGAAAGGAAAUGUUUUGAGUUGUGAUCAUUAUUCUGAACGAAUCUAGCUUCCUAAUGAAAUCAUUAAGAUGCUGGACUCAUUGAAUUAAUUUCAUUGUUUUCAGAGAACCUUGACAACUGCAUAGAUUUUUUUAAAGACAAUAAGCAUCUUUAAUGAUGCAGAUUUAUUAUUUGUGCGAAUGCAUUAAUAACAAUUCUAUUAAGCUGAUGCUUCAAUUUUUGAAGUUAUUGGUCAAGCUACAAAGGGCUCACGGAGGAUACCUAGGCACACAGA
Molecule: unclassified non-coding RNA, 682 nt
Filed under: uncultured Prochlorococcus sp.
Lineage: Bacteria; Bacillati; Cyanobacteriota; Cyanophyceae; Synechococcales; Prochlorococcaceae
Description: partial may contain 16S ribosomal RNA, 16S-23S ribosomal RNA intergenic spacer, and 23S ribosomal RNA
Rfam family: Bacterial small subunit ribosomal RNA (bases 1-97)
Source: RNAcentral